This is a long non-coding RNA of Schistocerca gregaria, 424 nucleotides long. RefSeq lists it as uncharacterized. The transcript has 2 exons. The record is from RefSeq and is a predicted model, not a curated record. NCBI's taxonomy places the organism in Eukaryota, Metazoa, Arthropoda, Insecta, Orthoptera, Acrididae.
UCAAGUUCGAAACUUGUCGCGCUAUAAACGACUCACGCGUUCCAGGCGAGGCGCACAGUUUGGCCGACCGUUCUGCUUGCGACAAGCUGCUGAAAGAUGAACAAGUUUCUGGUUUUUGUCGCCUCUGCGUUGUUGCUGGUGGUAGCCAUAUGCUUAUCACCAGCGAAGGCUGUAGCUGUGGCAUUACCAUUGGCCACCUCACCACCGUACACUACAACACCAUGGACCACCACACCUCGGACCGCCACACCAUCAUCGUCGGGAGACUAACUAAUGGCUGCUGCAGCAGUGUCAUUCACCUGCGUUUCAUCACUCUGGUGACCAGAACUACGUUUCUGAAGGCCACAUUCUUGUUGGAUAGGCAAUACGAUGUAUUUGUACAAAUUGCUUAUUGUUUACAAUAAAUAAUUACAAAUCAAAGUUA